Molecule: ribosomal RNA, 502 nt
Filed under: uncultured bacterium
Lineage: Bacteria
Description: bacterial SSU rRNA
Rfam family: Bacterial small subunit ribosomal RNA
Source: RNAcentral
CUGGCGGCGUGCUUAACACAUGCAAGUCGAACGCGAAAGGGACUUCGGUCCUGAGUAAAGUGGCGGCACGGGUGAGUAACGCGUAGAUAACCUGUCUUCAUGUCUGGAAUAAUACGCCAAAGGGGUACUAAUACCGGAUAUUCUUGCUUUUCAUAAGUUAUGCAAGCAAAGGUGGCCUCUGCAUAUGCUACUGCAUGAAGAGGGGUCUGCGUACCAUUAGCUAGUAGGUGGGGUAAUGGCCUACCUAGGCGACGAUGGUUAGCGGGUCUGAGAGGAUGAUCCGCCACACUGGCACUGGAACACGGGCCAGACUCCUACGGGAGGCAGCAGUGAGGAAUAUUGCGCAAUGGGGGAAACCCUGACGCAGCGACGCCGCGUGAGUGAGGAAGGCCUUCGGGUCGUAAAGCUCUGUCAAGAGGAAAGAAGUGUACAAUGGCUAAUACCUGUUGUAUUUGACGGUACCUCUAAAGGAAGCACCGGCUAACUCCGUGCCAGCAGCUGC